GGCGAUGGCUCAGCUGGUAGAGCAUUUGCCAGGUAUGCGGAGGAUCACCGGUUCAAUUCCGGCCCA
Molecule: transfer RNA, 66 nt
Filed under: Fasciola hepatica (liver fluke)
Lineage: Eukaryota; Metazoa; Platyhelminthes; Trematoda; Plagiorchiida; Fasciolidae
Description: tRNA-Thr
Source: RNAcentral